AUUCCGGUGGUUCAGUGGUAGAAUGCUCGCCUGCCACGCGGGCGGCCCGGGUUCGUUUCCCGGUCGAUG
RNAcentral lists this transfer RNA (69 nucleotides) under Caenorhabditis japonica. RNAcentral's name for it is "tRNA CJA46625". The stretch from base 5 to 66 matches the Rfam family "tRNA", at positions 5 to 66 of the family's 71-position model. From Rfam's summary of the family: Transfer RNA (tRNA) molecules are approximately 80 nucleotides in length. Their secondary structure includes four short double-helical elements and three loops (D, anti-codon, and T loops). Lineage: Eukaryota; Metazoa; Nematoda; Chromadorea; Rhabditida; Rhabditidae. The record is from RNAcentral.